UCUAAGUAUAAGCAAUUAUACCGCGAAACUGCGAAUGGCUCAUUAUAUAAGUUAUCGUUUAUUUGAUAGUACCUUACUACUUGGAUAACCGUGGUAAUUCUAGAGCUAAUACAUGCUAAAAAUCCCGACUUCGGAAGGGAUGUAUUUAUUAGAUUAAAAACCAAUGCCCUCUGGGCUCUCGGUGAUUCAUGAUAACUUCUCGAAUCGCAUGGCCUUGCGCGGGCGAUGGUUCAUUCAAAUUUCUUCCCUAUCAACUUUCGAUGUUUGGGUAUUGUCCAAACAUGGUCGCAACGGGUAACGGAGGGUUAGGGCUCGACCCCGGAGAAGGAGCCUGAGAAACGGCUACUACAUCCAAGGAAGGCAGCAGGCGCGCAAAUUACCCAAUCCCGACACGGGGAGGUAGUGACAAUAAAUACUGAUACAGGGCUCUUUCGGGUCUUGUAAUUGGAAUGAGUACAAUUUAAAUCCCUUAACGAGGAACAAUUGGAGGGCAAGUCUGGUGCCAGCAGCCGCGGUAAUUCCAGCUCCAAUAGCGUAUAUUAAAGUUGUUGUGGUUAAAAAGCUUGUAGUUGAACCUUGGGCCUGGCUGGCCGGUCCGCCUCACCGCGUGUACUGGUCCGGCCGGGCCUUUCCCUCUGUGGAACCUCAUGCCCUUCACUGGGCGUGACGGGGAAACAGGACUUUUACUGUGAAAAAAUUAGAGUGCUCCAGGCAGGCCUAUGCUCGAAUACAUUAGCAUGGAAUAAUGAAAUAGGACGUGCGGUUCUAUUUUGUUGGUUUCUAGGACCGCCGUAAUGAUUAAUAGGGACAGUCGGGGGCAUCAGUAUUCAAUUGUCAGAGGUGAAAUUCUUGGAUUUAUUGAAGACUAACUACUGCGAAAGCAUUUGCCAAGGAUGUUUUCAUUAAUCAGUGAACGAAAGUUAGGGGAUCGAAGACGAUCAGAUACCGUCGUAGUCUUAACCAUAAACUAUGCCGACUAGGGCUCGGACGAUGUUAUUUUUUUUGACUCGUUCGCCUCCUUACGAGAAAUCAAAGUGUUUAGGC
Molecule: ribosomal RNA, 1044 nt
Filed under: Montagnula striatispora
Lineage: Eukaryota; Fungi; Ascomycota; Dothideomycetes; Pleosporales; Didymosphaeriaceae
Description: SSU rRNA
Rfam family: Eukaryotic small subunit ribosomal RNA
Source: RNAcentral